GGGCGCAUAGCUCAGUGGUAGAGCACCUCGCUUACAACGAGGGAGUCACAGGUUCAAUCCCUGUUGCGCCCA
This 72-nucleotide transfer RNA is filed under the name Propionibacteriales bacterium. It matches the Rfam family "tRNA". Rfam says of the family: Transfer RNA (tRNA) molecules are approximately 80 nucleotides in length. Their secondary structure includes four short double-helical elements and three loops (D, anti-codon, and T loops). Lineage: Bacteria; Bacillati; Actinomycetota; Actinomycetes; Propionibacteriales. The record is from Rfam by way of RNAcentral.